RNAcentral lists this ribosomal RNA (253 nucleotides) under uncultured bacterium. Its description in RNAcentral is "partial 16S ribosomal RNA". It matches the Rfam family "Bacterial small subunit ribosomal RNA", at positions 524 to 776 of the family's 1533-position model. The record is from RNAcentral.
UACGAAGGGGGCUAGCGUUGUUCGGAUUUACUGGGCGUAAAGCGCACGUAGGCGGAUCUUUAAGUCAGAGGUGAAAUCCCAAGGCUCAACCUUGGAACUGCCUUUGAUACUGGGGAUCUUGAGUCCGGGAGAGGUGAGUGGAACUGCGAGUGUAGAGGUGAAAUUCGUAGAUAUUCGCAAGAACACCAGUGGCGAAGGCGGCUCACUGGCCCGGUACUGACGCUGAGGAGCGAAAGCGUGGGGAGCGAACAGG